This is a long non-coding RNA of Ctenopharyngodon idella (grass carp), 859 nucleotides long. RefSeq lists it as uncharacterized. NCBI's taxonomy places the organism in Eukaryota, Metazoa, Chordata, Actinopteri, Cypriniformes, Xenocyprididae. The record is from RefSeq and is a predicted model, not a curated record. The transcript has 2 exons.
UUACAAGUCCCCACAAGGCAGGAAUCUGUUUAUUCUUGCACAGAGCACAGAAGGCUGUGGAGAACGGCUUCCUCCGCUUCUGCUGUCAGGACUCAGAGGAGUGUUUUGUGCCUCCACCUUCUAAGCCACAUUACGCAGGUUUAGAGUCCACAGAAACACAGACUGAAGACACUACACCUGGCUCGGACGUCACGUGCAUCUCUGAGCAGCGAACAGAGAGCCUUAGCGUUCAGAGCAGAUGUUCGGACUUUGUGUUGCCGGGUGAAGUGCCUGUUGAGACUAUUCCACACGAGACCGGAGCCAAUGUCACUACACUGGACAUCACGUCCAUCGCUGAGGACAAUGUAAAGAAGACUGACAAACGCAUACGUUGGAAGAAGACCCGAUCAUUCUUCCGGAGAGCCCGUGAGGCUCUGAAGCUGCCGUUACUCUGCAGUGGCGUGGACGCGGUGGAGUCUUUGGUGCCUCUAACAGACUCGACAGACUCUACAGAAGCUCAGUGUGGCGACUCUACACAAACACUAGACCUUGAGGAGCUGAGCGAUGGGAUGUUAUCCGGUUCGGAAAGCAUCCCAGAGACGGUGCUGCCAGGUGAAGUGCUUUUUGAGCCGGCAGAGGCUUCAGAAAAACCUAAAGAACGGACUAUGAAGGAAAAGAUCUGUUAUUGCCUUAAAAAAGCUUGGACGGGUAUAAAGCAGCACUUCCUCUUCUGUGCCGUCACCUGUGCCAGAUCCCUCAGACUAACAGCCGACUCAAUCUGCAAGUGAUGCUAAUGAUGAGACAUUAUUCAGCUGUCGUGGUUUGAGCACACCCAAAAAUAAAAAAUUAUAAUCAUAUAAUUUACUUUACAGCAAAAACA